UGGCGGACGGGUGAGUAACGCGUGAGCAACCUGCCCUUCGGAGGGGGAUAGUGUCUGGAAACGGACAGUAAUACCGCAUAACGUAUUUUACCGCAUGAUAGAAAUACCAAAACUGAGGUGCCGAAGGAUGGGCUCGCGUUGGAUUAGAUAGUUGGUGGGGUAACGGCCUACCAAGUCAACGAUCCAUAGCCGGACUGAGAGGUUGAACGGCCACAUUGGGACUGAGACACGGCCCAGACUCCUACGGGAGGCAGCAG
Molecule: ribosomal RNA, 257 nt
Filed under: uncultured bacterium
Lineage: Bacteria
Description: partial 16S ribosomal RNA
Rfam family: Bacterial small subunit ribosomal RNA
Source: RNAcentral